AGUUUGAUCCUGGCUCAGAACGAACGCUGGCGGCAGGCCUAACACAUGCAAGUCGAGCGCAGUCCUUCGGGACCGAGCGGCGGACGGGUUAGUAACGCGUGGGAACAUACCCUUUGGUACGGAAUAGCCUCGGGAAACUGAGAGUAAUACCGUAUAAGCCCUUCGGGGGAAAGAUUUAUCGCCAAAGGAUUGGCCCGCGUAAGAUUAGAUAGUUGGUGGGGUAAUGGCCUACCAAGUCUACGAUCUUUAGCUGGUUUUAGAGGAUGAUCAGCAACACUGGGACUGAGACACGGCCCAGACUCCUACGGGAGGCAGCAGUGGGGAAUCUUGGACAAUGGGCGCAAGCCUGAUCCAGCCAUGCCGCGUGUGUGAUGAAGGCCUUAGGGUCGUAAAGCACUUUCGCCAGAGAUGAUAAUGACAGUAUCUGGUAAAGAAACCCCGGCUAACUCCGUGCCAGCAGCCGCGGUAAUACGGAGGGGGUUAGCGUUGUUCGGAAUUACUGGGCGUAAAGCGUACGCAGGCCGCCAUUUAAGUCAGAUGUGAAAGCCCCGGGCUCAACCUGGGAACUGCAUUUGAAACUGGAUGGCUAGAGUGUGACAGAGGGUGGUAGAAUUUCAGGUGUAGCGGUGAAAUGCGUAGAGAUCUGAAGGAAUACCAAUGGCGAAGGCAACCACCUGGGUCAACACUGACGCUCAUGUACGAAAGCGUGGGUAGCAAACAGGAUUAGAUACCCUGGUAGUCCACGCCGUAAACGAUGUCUACUAGCAGUUCGCCCCUUAAGGGGUGUCUUGCGCAGCUAACGCAUUAAGUAGACCGCCUGGGGAGUACGGCCGCAAGGUUAAAACUCAAAUGAAUUGACGGGGGCCCGCACAAGCGGUGGAGCAUGUGGUUUAAUUCGAUGCAACGCGAAGAACCUUACCAUCCCUUGACAUACUCGUCGUAGCUCCAGAGAUGGAGCGUUCAGUUCGGCUGGACGAGAUACAGGUGCUGCAUGGCUGUCGUCAGCUCGUG
RNAcentral lists this ribosomal RNA (1011 nucleotides) under uncultured Alphaproteobacteria bacterium. RNAcentral's name for it is "bacterial SSU rRNA". It matches the Rfam family "Bacterial small subunit ribosomal RNA", at positions 10 to 1064 of the family's 1533-position model. The record is from RNAcentral. Lineage: Bacteria; Pseudomonadati; Pseudomonadota; Alphaproteobacteria.